GACGAACGCUGGCGGCGUGCUUAACACAUGCAAGUCGAACGGAAAGGCCCCUUUGGGGGUACUCGAGUGGCGCACGGGUGCGUAACACGUGCGUAACCUGCCCUUGACUUCGGGAUAACUUCAGGAAACUGGGGCUAAUACCGGAUAGGAAUCCUUGCUGCAUGGUGGGGGUUGGAAAGCUUCGGCGGUUUUGGAUGGACUCGCGGCUUAUCAGCUUGUUGGUGGGGUAGUGGCUUACCAAGGCUUUGACGGGUAGCCGGCCUGAGAGGGCGACCGGCCACAUUGGGACUGAGAUACGGCCCAGACUCCUACGGGAGGCAGCAGUGGGGAAUAUUGCACAAUGGGCGGAAGCCUGAUGCAGCAACGCCGCGUGCGGGAUGACGGCCUUCGGGUUGUAAACCGCUUUCAGCAGGGGCGAAGCUUGUGGUGACGGUACCUGCAGAAGAAGCACCGGCUAACUACGUG
RNAcentral lists this ribosomal RNA (465 nucleotides) under uncultured bacterium. Its description in RNAcentral is "partial 16S ribosomal RNA". It matches the Rfam family "Bacterial small subunit ribosomal RNA", at positions 28 to 507 of the family's 1533-position model. The record is from RNAcentral.